UACGGAGGGUGCAAGCGUUAUUCGGAAUUAUUGGGUGUAAAGCGCGUGUAGGCGGUUUUGUGUGUCAGACGUGAAAGCCCGAGGCUUAACCUCGGAAGUGCGUUUGAAACUGCAAGGCUUGAGUCUCGGAGAGGAAAGUGGAAUUCCCAGUGUAGAAGUGAAAUUCGUAGAUAUUGGGAGGAACACCGGUGGCGAAAGCGACUUUCUGGACGAUGACUGACGCUAAGACGCGAAAGCGUGGGGAGCAAACAGG
RNAcentral lists this ribosomal RNA (253 nucleotides) under uncultured bacterium. RNAcentral's name for it is "partial 16S ribosomal RNA". It matches the Rfam family "Bacterial small subunit ribosomal RNA", at positions 524 to 776 of the family's 1533-position model. The record is from RNAcentral.